UCUGUUUGCCAUGCCUUCGGUGCCUCUCGAAAGAGAGGUGAAACAGGGAAUGCGGUGCGGCGAGCUUUCGCCAAUUCCGCGGCUGCCCCCGCAACUGUAGGCGGAUCGUCCGCGAUCAAGCUGCCACUGAGCGAUCGUUUUGCGCUCGGGAAGGCGAUCCGGACCAUAUCCGCGAGCCAGGAGACCGGCCGCAGGCAAUCGUCCACU
RNAcentral lists this non-coding RNA (207 nucleotides) under Rhodopseudomonas palustris. RNAcentral also lists the same sequence under 1 other name. The record is from RNAcentral. Lineage: Bacteria; Pseudomonadati; Pseudomonadota; Alphaproteobacteria; Hyphomicrobiales; Nitrobacteraceae.